RNAcentral lists this ribosomal RNA (496 nucleotides) under uncultured bacterium. RNAcentral describes it as "partial 16S ribosomal RNA". It matches the Rfam family "Bacterial small subunit ribosomal RNA", at positions 28 to 507 of the family's 1533-position model. The record is from RNAcentral.
GAUGAACGCUGGCGGCGUGCCUAAUACAUGCAAGUCGAGCGAACAGACGAGGAGCUUGCUCCUCUGACGUUAGCGGCGGACGGGUGAGUAACACGUGGAUAACCUACCUAUAAGACUGGGAUAACUUCGGGAAACCGGAGCUAAUACCGGAUAAUAUAUUGAACCGCAUGGUUCAAUAGUGAAAGACGGUUUGCUGUCACUUAUAGAUGGAUCCGCGCCACAUUAGCUAGUUGGUAAGGUAACGGCUUACCAAGGCAACGAUGCGUAGCCGACCUGAGAGGGUGAUCGGCCACACUGGAACUGAGACACGGUCCAGACUCCUACGGGAGGCAGCAGUAGGGAAUCUUCCGCAAUGGGCGAAAGCCUGACGGAGCAACGCCGCGUGAGUGAUGAAGGUCUUCGGAUCGUAAAACUCUGUUAUUAGGGAAGAACAAAUGUGUAAGUAACUAUGCACGUCUUGACGGUACCUAAUCAGAAAGCCACGGCUAACUACGUG